UAUGGUCUGGGUUCUCUCGUUGUAGGAUUUUCCAGGGGGAUUCCCCGAGUAAACGAAAACGGCAUUCCUUCGGUUAAACGGGUUUAAAAAGGUUAAAUAAUGAUGUGGCACUCCUACAAAACCUUUUCAAAGGCGCCUUACACAUUUCAAUACUUCGUUACAGUUUGCAAUCCGCUUUAUUAUAAGCUUGAUGAAUCGUGAUAUGGUGAUAAUGCAUACGUAAAUCACAUACACAGCGUGAUAUAAUAGCCUAUUUGUAGCUGGCUCUGUUCGUUCAUGUUAUCUUUCACACUGCUGACCCGUAUAGCCGUAUGGGUCUAAACCCUCUAAAUCGACGUAAAAAACCAAUGCUGUUCAUCUCAGGCAUCAAAUUUUCUGCGAAAUUUACCAUGUAACACUCCCAAUAAUGUAGAAAACUACAUAGAAUGUGCCUUUUACACCCCCCUCCUCCCAGUUAGUGGUAUUCAAUAGUCACCGGUACAUGUAGGUACAAAAUAGCUGACCAAAGCAAACGUUGGCACAGCGUUGGCCGAAGAGAGGGUCAAAAUAGCUUGCCUAUGCACAUUUCACGCUAUAAAACGUCGAGGUUAUCCCUACGGUACUACAUCAGCGUUAUAUGCGCCAGGACGAACAACGUAAGAACAGAUCCACGUAGCUGGGGUUGUAUGUAAGCAAAACUAUCAAUCAGAAGCCAAUAAAACUCCAAUACUGGGAAAAGACAUAGGGCAAGCAAAAAGCUUAUCAUCUGUUGAAAUGAACUGAUAUAUAUCACCUGCUACAAGUUAGGAUCUCAUUUCAACACCAUGAGCCAAAACUGAGCAUACUUUUCAGUUAAAAAAUGUUUAGCUAAAAAGAAUUGAUUUGCCUGUCAAUCUACUUCAAGGGUUCCUAAUCUAAUGAACUGAAGAGAUAUGAAGUGUCAAGCAUGCCAAGUCACCCUCGUUAACCCUAUGGACAGUAUGCCUCACCAAUGACACCGCGACGCCCCGAGUUGAGAUCUAGUUGUGGUUCUGGGGCUUAAUAUUAUGUGACUCAGCUCUGGCAACCUAAUCUAACCUUUCACACAGCAAAAUUACUCUUUCAUUAAACAAUGUCCUCAUAACUUUCAGUGACUUUAACAACUUCUUAACCCCUACUAGGCACAAGUUUGUUUGCAAUUGUAAUCGAGGGUGAAAUUGGCCUACUGAGUCAAAAAAAAAAAAGUUUCAUCGAGGUAGCACUGAGCAGGAUGAGAGGAGAGAAGUUCACAUGGUUGCUUAUAUGAAAGCCUCUAAACUGGUCACAAGCUGGUCAAAUGCACCAACAUGGUAUUUGGCAAGAUUCUGUCAUCUAGGCAGCUAAUCUUUCAAAGCCAAUACUGAGUUCACCCAUUAAACACUAAAGAAGUAAUUUCUUUUAUAAUUCACAUGUAUAAAGAAUCUAGACCAAAUUAACUGUAAUACUCUGUAAUCCUGUAGUCAAUGUAAUGGCAAAAAAGUUAGUUAAGAUCCUUAUAGGGGUUAAAAACAGGCUUUGUUACAGAUAAAGAGUACAAAAUUAAAAGUAGAAGAAAGAAAAGUAGUAGAAGAAAAAAAAACUAGAAAGGAGAUAAUCAGCUCGUUUGAAAAAUUACUGCUGAAACUCCAAUACAUUUUAUUCCAAAAUUGUGCCUUGGGACUUUAAUUUUAUAAUAGAAUGCAACAGGAAUGUGUUACAAGAGCUGUGAGCCAAUAUUUUUCUAUGCCAAAGGUAAAUCAAACCCAUGAUGUGAACUGGCCAUGAAUCAUAAUG
RNAcentral lists this long non-coding RNA (1770 nucleotides) under Lingula anatina. Its description in RNAcentral is "uncharacterized LOC106157838". Lineage: Eukaryota; Metazoa; Brachiopoda; Lingulata; Lingulida; Lingulidae. The record is from RNAcentral.